This is a non-coding RNA of Schistosoma mattheei, 45 nucleotides long. The record is from Rfam. NCBI's taxonomy places the organism in Eukaryota, Metazoa, Platyhelminthes, Trematoda, Strigeidida, Schistosomatidae.
AUCCAACUAACGAGUCCCAAAUAGGAUGAAACACGCGUCCUGGAU